RNAcentral lists this transfer RNA (60 nucleotides) under Helicella itala. RNAcentral's name for it is "tRNA-Glu". The record is from RNAcentral. Lineage: Eukaryota; Metazoa; Mollusca; Gastropoda; Stylommatophora; Geomitridae.
GUUUAAAUAGUAUAAAAAUACAUUAUCUUUUCGUGAUAAAAUUGGGCAUCCCUUUAAAUU